Molecule: ribosomal RNA, 292 nt
Filed under: uncultured bacterium
Lineage: Bacteria
Description: partial 16S ribosomal RNA
Rfam family: Bacterial small subunit ribosomal RNA
Source: RNAcentral
GUGGAUUAGAUACCCUGGUAGUCCACGCCCUAAACGAUGGAUACUAGGCGUAAGAGGUAUCGACCCCUCUUGUGCCGCAGCUAACGCAUUAAGUAUCCCGCCUGGGGAGUACGGCCGCAAGGUUGAAACUCAAAUGAAUUGACGGGGACCCGCACAAGCGGUGGAGCAUGUGGAUUAAUUCGAUACUAACCGAAGAACCUUACCCAGACUUGACAUCGAUCGCAAGCCUCAGAAAUGGGGCCCUCUCCCACAAGGAGACGUGAAGACACUUGUUGCACGGCCGUCGACAACU